AGACGGAGGGUGCAAGCGUUGUGCGGAUUUACUGGGCGUAAAGGGCGUGUAGGCGGAUAUGCAAGCUGGAGGUGAAAGCCCCGGGCUCAACCCGGGAAUUGCUUUGUAGAACUGCAUAUCUAGAGAAAGUCAGAGGCAGGUGGAAUUCCAGGUGUAGAGGUGAAAUUCGUAGAGAUCUGGAGGAACACCGGCGGCGAAGGCGGCCUGCUGGGGCUUUUCUGACGCUGAGGCGCGAAAGCGUGGGGAGCAAACAGGAGUAGAAACCCGAGUAGUCC
Molecule: ribosomal RNA, 275 nt
Filed under: uncultured bacterium
Lineage: Bacteria
Description: partial 16S ribosomal RNA
Rfam family: Bacterial small subunit ribosomal RNA
Source: RNAcentral